This 2881-nucleotide long non-coding RNA is filed under the name Homo sapiens (human). RNAcentral's name for it is "non-protein coding SNHG15:1". Lineage: Eukaryota; Metazoa; Chordata; Mammalia; Primates; Hominidae. The record is from RNAcentral.
UCCCGCUCCUCAUUGAGACCCUUCCAGAACACUACAAACUUGUAAUACUUAGCUGUAUCACCAGCAAACCAUGUCCUUCCCAAUUUCAGGACCUUUCAAUGUGCUUUCCUCUGCCUGGGGGUGGGUGGGGGGUGGAGAGUAGUUUCCUCCCAACCCAUGAAACCUCUCCACAAAGGUAGAAGAGACAGAAAACCAUUACUGAAUAAGUAUUAAACCAGAUUGUGAUGCCGUACAUCACAUGCAACCUGCUAAAGGCAACACAAAGACAGAAACUCACUUUUUCUAUGCAGCUAAGUAGAGAUAGCCCAUCACAUUAUGUAGGUUUUGCAAUUUGGAGUCAGGUGCCAAGUUAAGCCUUUGUCCUCCUAAGAAGCUGGACUCUUGGCCCUUUCGUCCCUUAACAAUUGCAUUUUUUUCUUUCUUUGUUUUUGAGACAGAGUCUCGCUCUGUCUCCAGGCUGGAGUGCAGUGGUGCUAUGUCGGCUCACUGCAACCUCCGCCUCCCGGGUUCAAGCGAUUCUCCUGCCUCAGCCUCCCGAGUAGCUGGUACUACAGGCACGCUUCACCAUGCCCAGCUAAUUUUUGUAUUUUUAGUAGGGACAGAGUUUCACCAUGUUGGCCAGGAUGGUCUCGAUCUCUUGAUCUUGUGAUCCGCCCGCCUCAGCCUCCCAAAGUGCUGGGAUUGCAGGCGUGAGCCACCGCACCCAGCCAACAAUUACACUUCAAGGAGAUGGCUCCCAAGAAACAUUCCUGAGUUGAACCUGGCCAUAUAAGAAAAAGACUUGAGUACAUUUGGAAAGGAGAGAGGCUGAAAUUUUGAAAGAAAAAGGGAGGGGGAUGGUUUCUCGUCCCUUCUUUUCCUCAGGGAAAAUUAAACCCUAUGUAUAAUUUGUAUUUGCCCUUCCACCUGCAUCACCUUUCCCACAUGCUCCCACAGGCAGGCUCCUGUUCAUUCCCAAGGCUCCGUGUCCACAUCGUGCUUGGAUUCCGCCCGGCCCCGCCUGUGCGGCCGCACCAGGAAGGCACCACCCAUUAGGGGCUCAGCGCGUCCCUCCAGGCCACGCCGUCAGGCCUCCGUCCUUUUAGCUGUAGGGGCAGAUUACGUAACUCCAGCCUUCUGGUCACUAAAGGAGGGUAACAAAGGGCGGUCGAGAGACUCCACUGAGUUGACACGCAGACGCAGCCUCAGGACCCUAAACUCUACGCCCCAGCACACCCUACCAAGCGAGCGCCCGCGGCCGCGUGACGUCAUCUACCCCAAACGCUGUGGCCCCGGCCACGCACGGCUUCGGGGCGGGACUACGCGGUGACGUCGAGGUGCGCGGCGCAGCGCGCGGCGUCAGUCUUGGCUGGCAGACCUGUACUCCGUACUCCGUACUUCGUAGUCGCAGCGGCGCGGUCUUCGGCAGUCUAGUCAUCCACCGCCAUCCUGGGCCCCACGUGUUGCCUGACCAUUCCUGAGCCCAGGUGGGAGCCGUGGCUGAGGUGACGGUCUCAAAGUGGAAGAGCUUACUGUCACAGCAACUCCUUUGCAAGAUGCCCCGGCCAGGAAUAGUUGCUGAACACCCCAGGCCUGCUGAGGUCCCUCCUUGAGUCUCAUGUUCAAGCAGUCUUGUGAGUAAAGCACUGGCUACCCCUUUUCACUUACUAUCUUUUCAAGCAUGUUCUACCACCUUGGAAGGUAAGAGGUUAGUACCUUCUUCCAGAGCAGAGGGCAGGCAUUCUUGCUGUGCGUUGUGAAAGGGUAGAGUCCUGCGCUCCUUUCUUGUAGUAGUCCAAUGGCUCAUGCAGGUGCCUCUGACUCCCCUAUGGGAACUGGGGCUUGGGAGGGUGGUGGAAAAUGCUGAUGCUCUGGCUAUUGCUAUUGUUUUGAAUAAUCAGUGGUCCCUUGUCCCUAAUCGAGGAAUUUUGUAUUUUCUACCAGUGUCCAUGAAACUGGGAGGCGACCGUGUUAGCUGCCAGUUCCUGACAGCCACCUCUCACCAGUGGCUUCACUCUGUGUCCCUGACCCAGCACAUGGCACAAGAGUGCCUGCCAUCCGUCAGUGUUUCUACAGCAGCAAUCCCAAGAUGCUGGAGCUAGAGGGGACCUGACCUGAGAGAAGAUACCUUCAGUGGCUGCCAGGCUGUUCCUUGGAACCUGUGCAGGGAUGAGGCCUGCCUGUGUUAAUACACCUAGUGAGGAGUGGAGCUGAAUUUGAAUGCAAGCCUUGGCACCUUAAUUGAGCAAGUUUGAAACCUCGCUUGUUGCCCUUCUGGAAGGAGUCAGGAAUUUCCAGUUCUGGGCCUGGGCUGUGGGUCUGGCAGACAGACCUCUGGCCCUAGGUUUGGGUGCCAGGUUCUCUGCUUCCAGAAUGAGAAGCUUUGCUGUGCACCAGGACCUGGGCCCUUCUGGUAUCUCCUGAAUGAAAAACAAGGGAUAUUUAAUAAAUAUGGAUUUAAAUAUGUGAUUUAGUCUUGCCUGUUUUUUACAUAUGCCAGAUGCAAAGAUAGGAAGACCCUGCGUCUUCUUGAAGGAGUUGUCAGCUAAGUCCAAGGGAUCCCCAAGUAUUUCACCAUUCUCAAUGCUCAUGCUUGUAGAUAGCCACUUGGAACUCUGAUCAUCUUAUGUGCAUGUGCCACCAGUUUCAACUGACAGUGGCAAGCUGUGGUGAGAGUUCACAAGCCAAGGCCAACUGGCUGAGUUCUACAGUGAGGUGAUGGUGCACAAAGGCACUGUCAUCAGGAGCUUUACCUUCCAGGAGCAUUUGAUGGUUGGCUCGAUAAGACAUUCUGUCUCAUCAGAUAGUCUUAGGUAUUCACCUAAGCAUUCAAACAAGUUACAGAAGUAAUACCCUUAAUAUGUGUGAUGUGCCCCAUGUUGGUAUUGGGGAUGUUGUCAAG